This 708-nucleotide long non-coding RNA is filed under the name Corvus moneduloides (New Caledonian crow). RNAcentral describes it as "lncRNA (ENSCMUG00000019387.1)". The record is from RNAcentral. Lineage: Eukaryota; Metazoa; Chordata; Aves; Passeriformes; Corvidae.
AUUCACUGUAAUCACUCCUGCCAGGCAGCACUGCUGUGCUAUUCUGUGAUUUCACAGGCAUUAUAGCAAUGGAAGCGCUGUCACCUAGACAAAAUGCGGAGGUGGAAAUAUACUGGAAAACCAUUUUCGUCAUCAAGGAAAGCUUAACUGUACCAGAGCAAUCCCAAAGUGAUGUGAACCAAUGCUACCUACCAGCAAUACUAAAAUCAGAGCCUGGGGACCUGUAUUGUGAACAAGAUCGGUAUUGGGUUUAGAAGCAGGUAAUAAAUAAGUAGUGAAAUGGACAGAUUAACAACAUAUUUUGAAAGUUCUAGACAACUUUUUUCCUCAACCAUCAGAAAUACCACCUAUAAACAUGUAGAUAUAUUUAAAAAGAGACUUCUUAAGCUAUACUGUCUUCAGCUUUUGCAUACUUUAUAAGAAUUUGACAAAACCUAAUAAAAGUAUGUAUUCCUUCUAAGGAAUUGCAACUGAAUUCUACAGUUCAUAGAUCCAAAAUAAGCAGUUUGUGUAACCUUACUUUAAGUUCAUUAACAACAGAAGAAUGUCGCCUUGGGGAAUUUGUCUUGUUACACGUUCCUAGAGAUAUACACAGAGCUCAGACGAAGAGACAGUCCAUAACCCAUGCUCUGUCCUUGAACCAGCAUUUCCAUCAAUAUUUUACUACUCAUUUCUAAAACAAUCAGAUAACUUUCCCUUUGAAUUGGG